RNAcentral lists this ribosomal RNA (378 nucleotides) under uncultured bacterium. RNAcentral describes it as "bacterial SSU rRNA". It matches the Rfam family "Bacterial small subunit ribosomal RNA", at positions 523 to 898 of the family's 1533-position model. The record is from RNAcentral.
AUACGUAGGGGGCGAGCGUUAUCCGAAGUUACUGGGCGUAAAGCGCGCGUAGGCGGGCUAUUAAGUCGGAUGUGAAAUCUCCACGGCUCAACCGGGAAAUUGCAUCCGAAACUGGUAGCCUUGAGGUAUGGAGAGGGAAGUGGAAUUCCAGGUGUAGCGGUGAAAUGCGUAGAUAUCUGGAGGAACACCCGUGGCGAAGGCGGCUUCCUGGCCAUAUCCUGACGCUGAGGUGCGAAAGCCAGGGGAGCGAACGGGAUUAGAUACCCCGGUAGUCCUGGCCGUAAACGAUGGAUACUAGGUGUUAGUGGUAUCGACCCCACUAGUGCCGUAGCUAACGCAUUAAGUAUCCCGCCUGGGGAGUACGGCCGCAAGGUUGAA